RNAcentral lists this transfer RNA (85 nucleotides) under Endozoicomonas elysicola. Its description in RNAcentral is "tRNA-Leu". It matches the Rfam family "tRNA". From Rfam's summary of the family: Transfer RNA (tRNA) molecules are approximately 80 nucleotides in length. Their secondary structure includes four short double-helical elements and three loops (D, anti-codon, and T loops). RNAcentral also lists the same sequence under 3 other names. The record is from RNAcentral. Lineage: Bacteria; Pseudomonadati; Pseudomonadota; Gammaproteobacteria; Oceanospirillales; Endozoicomonadaceae.
GCGGAUGUGGUGGAAUUGGUAGACACGCUGGUUUUAGGUACCAGUGCCGAAAGGCGUGAGAGUUCGAGUCUCUCCAUCCGCACCA